This 103-nucleotide microRNA precursor is filed under the name Marmota monax (woodchuck). Lineage: Eukaryota; Metazoa; Chordata; Mammalia; Rodentia; Sciuridae. The record is from RNAcentral.
UGUGGGAUAGCUGGGUCAAAUGGUGGUUCUGUUCCAAGUUUUCUAAGGAAUCUCCCAACUAUUUUUCAGAUUGGUUGCACCAUUUUGCAGUCCCAUCAGCAAU